RNAcentral lists this unclassified non-coding RNA (248 nucleotides) under Hevea brasiliensis (rubber tree). The record is from RNAcentral. Lineage: Eukaryota; Viridiplantae; Streptophyta; Magnoliopsida; Malpighiales; Euphorbiaceae.
UCGCUUACACAAUUGAAUAUUUUGGUAUUUGCAGCUUCUGGGUUCUCAACAGCCAGUGUAAGCAUAGUGGACAAGUCCCUGACAUGGGCGAUAUUAGUUAGUUGCAUCCCAGAGCCAGGUAUUGGCACUGGCCUUUCCCGGACAAUCCCUGUUUAGAGCAGAUCAUCAUAAAAGUUUAUCCAUGGAUAUUGUAUAAAAUUUGCAUAAGUUUGAGUUUCUACUGACGAUCAAAAAACCACUCCUCACAA